CCCCUUUCAUCGGCCGGAUCUCAUGCCUAUAUUGGGUCUGUCGGUUUCGGCCGACUAUGGCGAUAAACGGACGAUGCAAUAAGCCAUUCGGACCCGGGGGCGGUACCCGGCGCCUCCACCAGAAACCGCCGGCCCAUGCGAUGCGAAGGGCGGCUUCUGAUGGGGGCGAAAUAGGAUCGACGAGGGUGUAAAGAUCGGACUUUCGCUCGGCAUGGUACCACCGUUAUCGGACCGAACCUUAUAGUUGCCAACGACAACUAUGCGGAAGCACGUCUCGCUGCUUAAUGCAGCGCGAUAGCUUCAAUUCAAGUCUCAGGCCGUCGCAGGCCUGAGCGGGGUUCGGAGGCACCUGGCAACAGAAGCCUCCACU
This is a non-coding RNA of Chelativorans sp. BNC1, 370 nucleotides long. NCBI's taxonomy places the organism in Bacteria, Pseudomonadati, Pseudomonadota, Alphaproteobacteria, Hyphomicrobiales, Phyllobacteriaceae. The record is from Rfam.